This 1000-nucleotide long non-coding RNA is filed under the name Callithrix jacchus (white-tufted-ear marmoset). RNAcentral's name for it is "lncRNA (ENSCJAG00000083814.1)". Lineage: Eukaryota; Metazoa; Chordata; Mammalia; Primates; Cebidae. The record is from RNAcentral.
GUGGACAAGCAAGGAAAUCCUCCCUCUUUCUUUUCUUGCUUUUCCACCAGUGCCUUCCUGGGUAGGAAAGCAGGGUAGAAAAUGUCACACUGAGGGCCAAUCAGUUUAGUUCUAAGGUUAAGUAAUAGGAAUCCCAAUUUUGGCCUCCCACUUGAAGUAUGUCCCCAAACCAGUCUUCCAGGAAGAUUUAUCAUCUGAAUAACAAAGCUGGUGUUUUGAUUCCAUUUGACUCAAGUAUUUGUGUUUAUAUUUGAUUGGCAGAAGCCCUGGAGGGAAAGAAGAUGACUUCAGCCUGAGCUUUACCCAUGACAUUAGUAACAUCACUCUGACUUCAUACCUGCCGUGGAUGCUGGACUGCAGCCUCUUCUCUGAGCAUCCCCGAGUAGCAUUCUGUGAGACUUCUGCUCAGAAACCAGUCAGUCUCCUCAUGGCAAAGUAUCGCCCACAGUUUUUCAAGGGAAGAGUUUCCCCAUAUGUGCUGUCGCAGGCGCGUCCCCUGAUUCUCUUCGAGGCCACUGCGGUACUGCCUUCCUCACACUGCUGUUGGUCCUUGCACAGACCUGGGAAGUUUGCCUUCCUGUUUAUUCUGGGUAAACUUAGGCAUCCAGUUUCCAAGGAUCACUUCUUAAGAUCCAGAUCUCAUGAUGGAAGAUGCUUCAAUGAAAAACAUUGAAAACCAAAGGAACGUGCCUUACUGUGUACCUAUGGCCCUUCAAAGGCCAGAGUAGAAUCUGCUAUGAUUUAUAAACAAACAAGAAAUGGUGAGUAGCUGGUAGCUAAGAACUUGGACUUUGGGAUCGGACAGGCCUGGGUUUAAAUCCUAGCCCUGUCACUUUCACUCUGUGAUUCUGGGGAAAAAUGUUUUUGCUUUCUCAUAUGUGAAAUAAAGUCAGUGGGUAUCCUGAACACGCCACCUUUACUUGUCCAGCAUGUCAGUCGGGUUUUGUUCAUGGAAACAGAGCUGCUGUAAACGUUAUGGGAAUAAGGGACUUUACUCAGA